Molecule: long non-coding RNA, 791 nt
Organism: Selaginella moellendorffii
Lineage: Eukaryota; Viridiplantae; Streptophyta; Lycopodiopsida; Selaginellales; Selaginellaceae
Exons: 3
Source: RefSeq, a predicted model, not a curated record
UUUUCGAGAAUUCCGGACGGAUCUUCUCAACGAGCAGCUUGCGAUUCGGGACGCAUUUGCGCGCAAGAACAAGGUAUGGGAUCGCCAAUGCCAUGCAUCUUCUCUCUUUGUUUCUUCGGCAGCAUGAUAUUAGGAAGAAUCCAGCGUUCCGGGCUCUAUGUUUUUCCUCUACUUUUUUCUUCGGCGUCCAAAUUGUAGAGAUCUGCCUUGCAACUCGAUUUCACAAUGGAGGACUCAUUGUCUCAACGAGAUUUGGUCGAACUUCCCGAAUCCGGGGAGCCAAUCACGAGCGAUGAUUGUCUCAAGGCGAUUGACAAGUGUUUUCAUUCGAUUGUAGUCUCACUAAUUGAUCUCAACAAAGAAGAGACGAACUUCACGCGAGCCAAUCACUCAAGAUAUCGAAAAAAGGAAAAUAUUGGACAGAAAAGCACAUAUGUUUUCAUUCUGUUCGCCUUUUUUUUCAUUGAUUUGUUUCCAAAUUGAUAGGUUUGAUUUUGCAGACAUGGUCCCAUGACGGAUUAUAUAACAGUGUUUUCACCGUAGGCAAAAAGAAGCUCGUUCAACCGAGCUCAACAAAGACCACAGCCAGGUUUUAGAACUCCCAGAGGUCCAUGGAUUUGUUCUGGUUGAAGACGUAGAACGCGCUCUAUUGUGGCUCGAGUGAUCGAUGCUUUGGGAACAUGGGAUGCUCUCACUUGAACUUCUAGGAAAAUAAAAUACUGGUUUCCUCAAGUUCUAGCAAUGCGGGAGAAAUCUAAAAAGCUUUUCAAAAGUAACGAGCAUUCGCUUUA